Molecule: non-coding RNA, 3658 nt
Organism: Dermacentor albipictus
Lineage: Eukaryota; Metazoa; Arthropoda; Arachnida; Ixodida; Ixodidae
Source: RefSeq, a predicted model, not a curated record
UUCUGGCUUGGCACGUGGAAGGAGCAGCGUUCAACUGCAGCGCAUAGCCGCAUAGCCUUGUGAAUGUCAUGGCACAACGCUUCCUCACACUGGAGGCUGCAACUGACCUAUUCUUCAGCCUUCCCGAUGACGAACGCGAAAGUGCGUCUAUAUGCCAAUUGCCGCCUGAUGAAGACGGCAACAUUACUGACGAGGAGCACGUGAACGAAAAUGACUUUUCUGAAGUUGUUCCCGAUGACGUUUGCGGGCAGGUUGAAGUUAUGCAGUGCUGCGAUGAAGACGUUGAUUCGCCUACUGCAUGUUCGAGUCCUGAGCCACGACGAAAGAAACCAGCGCGGAGGCAGUCGACUGCUGGAAAAAGGUGCAAGUCUUCAAACAAGGCUGGAAAAACAAAAACCCCGAAGCACUCCCUUAGCGCAGCAUGGGGUGACCAUGCUACGUUCGACAAAGCACUUCCCAGAGAGAACCCUCCGUUGUUGCUAGAGGCAUUUCCUGAGCUAGCAGACAUGAGCCCAUUUAUGCUGUUCAGCAAAAUAAUUUCUCCAGAAUAUCUUGGUUCACUGGCUGAACUGACUGCAAGGUACGCACUCCAAAAGGGGGAGGAGGUGGACGUCACUGGAGCGGAUAUAGGUCAGUUUUUCGGCCUCUUACUGUUGAGUGGAUAUCACUCCGUUCCAUCUGAGGACUCGUAUUGGAGCACCGCAGAAGACCUUCGUGUGCCUUUAGUCGCGACAGUGAUGGCCCGCAAUGGGGCUCUUGCAUUGCCCAGGGGGCGCUGCGAAAAAGGUGCUAAAAAGCGCCCUCUGCGCUAAAAUGGGUCGUACCAAGCUCGGUCGUCUGCUUCGGAAAGCACGUUUACACUAUGGACCCGCCACUUUCGGUUGUGUUGUUUCACGGCCUGCAGCGAAUAUCGGGCGCCGAAGAUUUUUUCAGGGGUGGCACGCUGCGUAAAGGCAAGAAAUUAUGCAGUGCCGAAUACGUGUACGCCGUUCAAGAAUUGGGCGGCGAAGUUUUAGCACCGUGUCAAACGCGAGUCGCGUACGAAGUGGAACUUCAGGUAAGGUUUGCACGCUAGUUGCUAGAUUCAGGCGCACAAACGCGAGGAAAUGCUUGCUAUAAAUGAAUCCACAGCGGCGAUAAGCAGACAUCAUGUGUACGGAACUGCUCGAGCGCACGACGGUACGCGCCGCGAUGUACGAACUGCUCGAGCGCACGAUCGUACGCGCCGCGACGGCAGCGGUCUUUGGACAUGCCGCGAAACGGCGGGCCUCCUGCAAUCUUUGUUGACUGCAUGCCGCUAAACAAGUAGUUAUGCCUGCGUUUUAGUAGCGGCCAUCUGUCCUCUUUAGUAACUGGUAAUAACUGAUGCAAUGCAUAAGAGCUCGCACGUACGUGCGAAUCGCGGCGCGAGCUCGUACGCCGCUCGCUUGAUGUAGGUUUUAAUGACAGCGCUCGAACAUCGAUGUGCUGCAAUCAAUACUGCCUUGCUGCGCUGCCUCAACGUGCUGGCUUGAGAUCAAGGAUGAGUGCAUUUAACUCUCUUAACCUGUGCUGCUCGUAGUGAAGUAGUGAAUUGUCAUCGAAUGAGCCCGACCAUUUGUGCUCAUUUGCACACACCUGGUCGCUUCACCACUUCGCAUCGAUCGAAUUGUUAAUUGUCGCUGCGGCCGGGUCUCGAAUCGUGAAUUACCAGCCAUGCCUGCUGCUAUGUCGGUCUGCUGUCGGGACUGUAGGUGCAAAAGACCGAACAUUAGAAUGCAGAUAAUCAAGCAAGCUUCAAGACAGGCGAAGCAGUCAGCAUGGCGCGAAGUUUCGCUUACUCAGCGCGACGAACUGCAGCUAUGCAGCGCGCCCGACGCUCCACUUCGUGAGGCCUUGAAGGAAAACGGCAGAAUAUGAUGUUGGGAUUCAGGCCUUCUUGUUCAUGACAGCCCACGACGCAGAAGUAAUGACGGUGACGCCUUCUCGAGGCUGGGCUAGGUCUCUCCGGAUCGGCGCCACCGAUUCCGUCUGCUCCCAGCAUUGCGUCCCACGGCACACGGAGAGCCCGUUUUCGUUAAACUAUAGGCUGCGGCGAGCUCGCAGCGUGGUCGGCAUGGUCUGCGAGAAGUGACGAGCCUUUUCGCACUCGCAACAGGGCAGAAAAAAGUGCGAAUCGACGCAAAACUCGGCCUAGAAACGUGCUUCGCCACAGCCAGGGCUCAAUACGACCCAAGCUGGUACGACCCAGAUGUCGUUUCCCGCGCCGCCACCAGGCGCCGCUACUAUACCUCAAACUCCAGCGCAAGACGCCCAUAGGUUCCGGCAGCUAAAAAGGUUUUUUCAUGUAGUGGACAACACUCAGUUGAAAGAAGGCGAGAAGAAAUAGGUUCCUACCCGCAAUAGGUUCCGGCAGCUAAAAAGGUUUUUUCAUGUAGUGGACAACACUCAGUUGAAAGAAGGCGAGAAGAUGGGCAAGAUUCAGUCGUUUUACGACGAAAUCUCCAAAUGUUUCCGCCAGUUUGGAGUUUUCCACGAAAGCCUCAGCAUCGACGAGUCAAUGGUGCCCUAUUAUGGCCACCACUCGUGCAAAAUGUUCAUUCGCGGUAAACCUAUCCGAUUUGGGUAUAAGAUAUGGAUGAUGUGCUCUUCGAAUGGGUACCCCUAUGCAAUGGAAAUAUAUUGCGGGAGAAACGAGAAGGACGAGAAGGCACCUCUCGGGCUGAGGGUUGUUAGCAAUAUGACAUCCGUCCUGCCCGCCCCUGAACAGCAUGAAGUCUACUUUGACAACUUUUUCACUUCGCACGGUCUCCUGACGAAACUGGCUAACCAGGGUAUUCGAGCGACGGGGACUGUACGAGAUGCCAGAACCGGUGGUUGUCCACUGAAGAGCUCGAAAGACGUCGGAAGAGAGGAAAGAGGUUCUUUCCACUACAAAUGUGACGGGGUGGUCUACACAUGCAGGUGGAACGACAAUGCAGUCGUCACAGUUUCUUCAAACCACCUCGGCCAUGAGCCUCUUGGAACUGCAAAACGCUUCUCACGGCGGGCAAACAAAAAGGUAGACAUUCCUCAACCAUAUUUGAUAAAAAAAUACAAUGAGGGCAUGGGGGGAGUAGAUGUUCUCGAUCGCCUCCUCGGAAGUUAUCGGCCAAGACUUCGAAGCAAAAAAUGGUGGUGGAACCUUUUCAGCAAUGGUCUGAACAUGGCUGUCGUCGCAGGAUGGCUCCUUCAUUGCGAGCUUCACAAAGGAACUGAUGCCGCCAUGACACACAUAGCAUUUCGGAGGGACGUCAUCAUGUCCUUGCUGCACCUCAAGCAGAGAAUCACUGUGCGGCCUGGACCUCGGGUUCAUCCGAGACGCGAGGAUAGGAAAACUGAUGGCCACUACAUCAUCUCAGCAACUCAGGGGAGGUGUGCGGAGUGCAAGAAAAACACGAUGAACCAGGGUCAGCAGUGCAAAAAGCGCCUACACACGAAGUGCUUUGCAGCAUACCAUGGCUUGUGAAGUGUUCACAGACGUGUUGUGAAGCAAGUAGGAUGAAAAAAUAAAUUUUCGCAAGCAUUGUUAUAAACAUUUAUACUUUUGAAAGGCCUUGUAUGACGCUAAUAAUUAUUCUUCUGUUAACAUGAGAAAGCAAUCCCCCUUUAACAGACAAUAAAGGUUGUUCCAGACAAA